RNAcentral lists this ribosomal RNA (375 nucleotides) under uncultured bacterium. RNAcentral's name for it is "partial 16S ribosomal RNA". It matches the Rfam family "Bacterial small subunit ribosomal RNA", at positions 338 to 710 of the family's 1533-position model. The record is from RNAcentral.
CCUACGGGUGGCAGCAGUGAGGAAUAUUGGUCAAUGGGCGAGAGCCUGAACCAGCGAAGCCGCGUGAAGGAUGAAGGAUCUAGGGUUUGUAAACUCCUUUUAUAUGGGAAUAAAGUGAGGAACGUGUUCCUUUUUGUAUGUACCAUAUGAAUAAGCAUCGGCUAACUCCGUGCCAGCAGCAGCGGUAAUACGGAGGAUGCGAGCGUUAUCCGGAUUUAUUGGGUUUAAAGGGUGCGUAGGUGGUUAAUUAAGUCAGCGGUGAAAGUUUGUGGCUCAACCAUAGAAUUGCCGUUGAAACUGGUUGACUUGAGUACAGUUGAGGUAAGCGGAAUGCGUGGUGUAGCGGUGAAAUGCAUAGAUAUCACGCGGAACACC